GAAUAUUAGGGCGUCUACUUCGGUAGGGCCUGACCUCCACUUUCUAACUCUGUGCACUCAUUUGGCGGAAAAGGGAAUAGCGAUUGUUUAACUACGAUUGCGACUUCUCGUUUCUGCGGCUGACUUUUAAACACCAGUCAAAGUAUGUAUAUAAAUAAAAUAAGAAAAACUUUCAACAACGGAUCUCUUGGCUCU
Molecule: unclassified non-coding RNA, 195 nt
Filed under: rhizosphere metagenome
Description: partial ribosomal RNA internal transcribed spacer region
Source: RNAcentral